This is a small nuclear RNA of Dipodomys ordii (Ord's kangaroo rat), 101 nucleotides long. The record is from Ensembl. NCBI's taxonomy places the organism in Eukaryota, Metazoa, Chordata, Mammalia, Rodentia, Heteromyidae.
GUGCCAGCAGCACACAUACUAAAAUUGGAAUGAUACAGAGAAGAUUACCAUGGCCCCUGCACAAAGAUGACAUGCAAAUGCAUGAAGCAUCCUAUAUGUAU